CACACAGUGUGAGCAAAUGAUCCUAACAGAAGAGAAAAAAACACCCUCACUGAGAAAAACACACAAAUCAUUUAUUGGCAUUUAUACCAUUUACACAUUAACUUUCAUUUUAUUUUU
This 117-nucleotide non-coding RNA is filed under the name Mantoniella antarctica. The record is from RNAcentral. Lineage: Eukaryota; Viridiplantae; Chlorophyta; Mamiellophyceae; Mamiellales; Mamiellaceae.